RNAcentral lists this ribosomal RNA (170 nucleotides) under uncultured bacterium. RNAcentral describes it as "partial 16S ribosomal RNA". It matches the Rfam family "Bacterial small subunit ribosomal RNA", at positions 338 to 524 of the family's 1533-position model. The record is from RNAcentral.
CCUACGGGAGGCAGCAGUGGGGGAUAUUGCGCAAUGGGGGCAACCCUGACGCAGCAACGCCGCGUGAAGGAUGAAGGUUUUCGGAUUGUAAACUUCUUUUAUUAAGGACGAAUUUUGACGGUACUUAAUGAAUAAGCUCCGGCUAACUACGUGCCAGCAGCCGCGGUAAU